GUAACGGGGAGUCAGGGUUCGAUUCCGGAGAGUGAGCCUGAGAAACGGCUACCACAUCCAAGGAAGGCAGCAGGCGCGCAAAUUACCCACUCCCGGCACGGGGAGGUAGUGACGAAAAAUAACGAUACGGAACUCAUACGAGGCUCCGUAAUCGGAAUGAGUACACUUUAAAUCCUUUAACGAGGAUCUAUUGGAGGGCAAGUCUGGUGCCAGCAGCCGCGGUAAUUCCAGCUCCAAUCGUAUAUUAAAGUUGUUGCGGUUAAAAAGCUCGUAGUUGGAUCUCGGUUUCACUCAGGUGGUACACCUUGCGGUGUUCACUAUCUGGGUGGACGUUUCUGUUGGUUCGCUCUUGGUGCUCUUCAUCGGGUGCCAUUUGGUGGCCAGCACGUUUACUUUGAAAAAAUUGGAGUGCUCAAAGCAGGCGUUACAGCCUGAACAUUAGUGCAUGGAAUAAUGGAAUAGGAUCUCGAUUCUAUUUCGUUGGCUUUCGGAGUCGAGGUAAUGAUUAAUAGGGACAGACGGGGGCAUUCGUACUGCGACGUUAGAGGUGAAAUUCUUGGAUCGUCGCAAGACGAACUACUGCGAAAGCAUUUGCCAAGAAUGUUUUCAUUAAUCAAGAACGAAAGUUAGAGGUUCGAAGGCGAUCAGAUACCGCCCUAGUUCUAACCAUAAACGAUGCCAACCGGCGAUCCGUCGUCGUUAAUUGAAUGACUCGACGGGCAGCCUCCGGGAAACCAGAGUGUUUGGGUUCCGGGGGAAGUAUGGUUGCAAAGCUGAAACUUAAAGGAAUUGACGGAAGGGCACCACCAGGAGUGGAGCCUGCGGCUUAAUUUGACCCAACACGGGAAAUCUCACCAGGCCCGGACACCGGAAGGAUUGACAGAUUGAGAGCUCUUUCUUGAUUCGGUGGGUGGUGGUGCAUGGCCGUUCUUAGUUGGUGGAGCGAUUUGUCUGGUUAAUUCCGAUAACGAACGAGACUCUGGCCUACUAACUAGAAGGUCUAUCCUUUAUGGGUAGGCCUCUGCUUCUUAGAGGGACGGGCGGCGUUUAGCCGCACGAGAAUGAGCAAUAACAGGUCUGUGAUGCCCUUAGAUGUUCUGGGCUGCACGCGCGCUACACUGAAGGAAUCAGCAUGUUCUCCCCUCCCUGAAAUGGGCGGGUAACCCGUUGAAACUCCUUCGUGAUGGGGAUUGGAGAUUGUAAUUAUUCUCCAUGAACGAGGAAUUCCCAGUAGGCGCGAGUCAUCAGCUUGCGUCGAUUACGUCCCUGCCCUUUGUACACACCGCCCGUCGCUACUACCGAUCGAGUGAUUUAGUGAGGACUUCGGACUGGUCUUCAAGUUGGCUUCGGUCGGCUCGAAGUUCCGGAAAGAUGCCCAAACUUGAUCACUUAGAGGAAGUAAAAGUCGCAACAAGGUU
Molecule: ribosomal RNA, 1418 nt
Filed under: metagenome
Description: SSU rRNA
Rfam family: Eukaryotic small subunit ribosomal RNA
Source: RNAcentral